This 468-nucleotide ribosomal RNA is filed under the name uncultured bacterium. RNAcentral describes it as "partial 16S ribosomal RNA". It matches the Rfam family "Bacterial small subunit ribosomal RNA", at positions 28 to 507 of the family's 1533-position model. The record is from RNAcentral.
GACGAACGCUGGCGGCGUGCUUAACACAUGCAAGUCGAACGGAAAGGCCCUGCUGUUGUGGGGUGCUCGAGUGGCGAACGGGUGAGUAACACGUGAGUAACCUGCCCUUGACUUUGGGAUAACUUCAGGAAACUGGGGCUAAUACCGGAUAGGAGCUCCGGCUGCAUGGUGGGGGUUGGAAAGGUUCGGCGGUUGGGGCUGGACUCGCGGCUUAUCAGCUUGUUGGUGGGGUAGUGGCUUACCAAGGCUGUGACGGGUAGCCGGCCUUAGAGGGUGAACGGGCACAUGGGGCCUGAGGGACGGCCCAGAGUGCUACGGGAGGCAGUGGUGGGGAACCUUACGCAAUGGGCGGAAGUCUGAGGCAGCGACGUCGGGUGUGUGAUGUCGGCUCUCGGGGUGGAAACCGAUUUCGCCUGAUACGAAGGCUGAUUGACGGUACCGGGUAAAGAAGCACCGGCUAACUCCGUG